AUCUUCACUCACUGUUCUUGCAACAAACUGCAAUGAAAAACAUAAUGGAUUGUGAAAGGACUUCUCUUUACAUAGGAAGCUGGUGUAAAAAUCCUGUGUUGCAACAGAAUUACUUUCCUUUUUUGCUUUGCUUACUGUAUUUGGCUGCUUCCUGUAGACCAUCAGGCUUAUGAAAAGGCAAAUUUUUAUCUGAAGUGAGGCCAUGAAACCAUAAUGUACAUCAAGUAUUUUGUUGUCAAAACCAGUCGCAAGCUCUUUAACUAUUUACCCUAGCUUUGUUUGUAUAGCUCGGUAACGUUGUCUGAAUCUCAUUGAAUAUCCCGUGAUGUCUAACUAUCAGCUAAUGCUACCAUAUAAAUAGACAAAUUCUGAUGUGUUUUACUCUGAGGUUAAGCGUGGUGAGAGCAAAACUGUAGGGAAUCUGGCGGUGACAAAGUGUUUUGAAACUGAUAGUAUACAAAGUGAACAUCUUGCAUUAAAAACAAACCAAAAAAUGGUUCCAGUGAUUAUUAGCCCCUUUUCGUGUGGAAACAGGUCACAGGUGAUGCUAUUUAAGAGAAUUUCCCUUAGCUUUUAAGCUUUUAACCUGCUAGUUGAAUUUCCAUUAUUCUUCACAGUUAGCUAGAGAGCUCAAAAGUAGUUAACUCAAAAGAGAGAGGUACUGUCUUGGACCUCUCACUAAGUUUAGUCUCUAUUCUCCAAAUCAGGCAGUAACAAUUCCCAUCCAGUGCUUCGUUCUUAUCUUUAGCCAUCGCUUUACUGCCAUCUGCAGCGAUGUGGAACCAUUCCUGAGCACUUCUAGGACCUCUCUGCGGGAUUCACUGCUUUGCUUACUUAUUCUUCUGCCUACAAAGGAAGAGAGACUUGUGUACCGUUAGACUCCAGUGGACUACUAACUUCCCAUCUGCUACAAAGCUAGUACCAUAGAUGAGAGACCACCACACUGCUGCGUGUUUGAAGGUAGGCUGUAGACAAACCUGAUAAGGCCCCCGUGAAAGAUUACCAAAUGCAGCAAACCAGGCUUUAAGCAAUAAGAUUUUAUUCCGUUGGUAUCUAAACAAAAACCUGAGGUACAGUACAGAAGUGUGGUAUGUAUGGCUAAAAAAAAAAAAAAAAA
Anas platyrhynchos (mallard) is the source of this 1117-nucleotide non-coding RNA. The record is from RefSeq and is a predicted model, not a curated record. Lineage: Eukaryota; Metazoa; Chordata; Aves; Anseriformes; Anatidae.